Molecule: ribosomal RNA, 1434 nt
Filed under: metagenome
Description: bacterial LSU rRNA
Rfam family: Bacterial large subunit ribosomal RNA
Source: RNAcentral
GACACGGGAAGGGAAGCAGAGCCGGGAAUGGAAAGCCCGGUGCAAGCGAAGGAGUCGCAGGGUUGGAAAAUCCGCCCUGCAUGAGACGAAGGCGUGAUGCGGAGCGAAAUGAAGUAGUGAAGCUGCGGCCCCUUCCUGUCGAGAAAAGCCGCUAUCGUGUAGCAGGGGCCCGUACCGUAAACCGACACAGGUGGAUGAGGAGAGGAUCCUAAGGCCGGCGGGAGAAGUGUUGUUAAGGAACUCGGCAAAAUGACUCCGUAACUUCGGGAGAAGGAGUGCUGCGCAAGCAGCCGCAGAGAAAUGGCCCAAGCAACUGUUUAGCAAAAACACAGGUCUAUGCGAAACCGGAAGGUGAGGUAUAUGGGCUGACGCCUGCCCGGUGCUGGAAGGUUAAGGGGAGAGCUUAGCGCGAGCGAAGGUUUGAACUUAAGCCCCAGUAAACGGCGGCCGUAACAAUAACGGUCCUAAGGUAGCGAAAUUCCUUGUCGGGUAAGUUCCGACCCGCACGAAAGGCGUAAUGAUUUGGGCACUGCCUCAACAACACACCCGGUGAAAUUGAAAUACCAGUGAAGAUGCUGGUUACCCGCGCCAGGACGGAAAGACCCCAUGGAGCUUUACUCCAGCCUGAUACUGGGAUUCGGUAUUGCAUGUACAGGAUAGGUGGGAGGCUAAGAACUCAUGGCGCCAGCCGUGAGGGAGCCGAUGUUGGGAUACCACCCCUGCAGUACUGGGUUUCUAACCUGCGCCCGUGACCCGGGCGGGGGACAAUGUCAGGCGGGGAGUUUGACUGGGGCGGUCGCCUCCGAAAGGGUAUCGGAGGCGCUCAAAGGUCUCCUCAGGAUGGUUGGAAACCAUCCAGAGAGUGCAAAGGCAGAAGGAGGCUUGACUGCGACACCGACGGGUGGAGCAGGUACGAAAGUAGGACUUAGUGAUCCGGUGGCAUAAGUGGGAUUGCCAUCGCUCAACGGAUAAAAGCUACCCUGGGAUAACAGGCUUAUCACUCCCAAGAGUUCACAUCGACGGAGUGGUUUGGCACCUCGAUGUCGGCUCAUCGCAUCCUGGAGCUGGAGCAGGUUCCAAGGGUUGGGCUGUUCGCCCAUUAAAGCGGUACGCGAGCUGGGUUCAGAACGUCGUGAGACAGUUCGGUCCCUAUCCGGCGCGGGCGCAGGAUAUCUGAAAGGAGCUGUCCUUAGUACGAGAGGACCGGGAUGGACCGUCCGCUGGUGGACCGGUUGUCAUGCCAAUGGCACGGCCGGGUAGCCAAGACGGGAAGGGAUAAACGCUGAAGGCAUCUAAGCGUGAAGCCCCCCUCAAGAUGAGAUAUCUAUACUCGAAAGAGUGAGAGACCCCUUAGAGACGAUGAGGUAGAUAGGGCAGAGAUGGAAGCACAGCGAUGUGUGGAGUUGACUGUUACUAAUCGGUCGAUAGCUUGAC